This is a long non-coding RNA of Cyprinus carpio carpio, 2136 nucleotides long. NCBI's taxonomy places the organism in Eukaryota, Metazoa, Chordata, Actinopteri, Cypriniformes, Cyprinidae. The record is from Ensembl.
ACAAUUCACAGCCCACCCGGCCCUUCAAGUGCUGGGACAAGAGCCUCUCGUGUGUCCAUGGCAAGGCCAGUCAUUUCAUUUCUCUCUCGCUCUGCACAUGUUGUUCCUCAGCGCACAUUCGCUUCCUGAUUAUGAGAGGACCCUGAAAACCACUAAGAGCUAUUUAAGUCCCCUUCAGAGAAAAUAGUCCAUAAGGAGAAAUUUGUUUAUAUUUGCUGGUAACUGCAUGAUAAUAUAAGAUAAUGACUUGUAAUAUUACACCAGCAUCACAAAAAAAAAAAAGGAAAAAGAGAGAUGUAAUGUUGUCUUCAAGUGGACUGAGAAAGAUUGCAAUUACAGUAUGAGCACAAGAACAUUAAUGACUAAGCAAAGUCAUACUUACGUGUAGGAAGCUUUGAGUUUUCAGAUGACUCAUGAGAAGACACGUCAUGACUUCAGAAAACAAGUCUGGGGUGAAUAUAAAAUAAUGGUUUUGCAAGUUAUUUUCAUUUUGCUCACUGUAUUUUCAUUAUUUUAAAGGUGUGACUCAAAAAAGUUUCCAUACGGCAAAAAAAAAAAAAAUGAAUCCGUCAUUAUCUGGCCUAAACCCAUUUAAAGCCUUGUGUUUUAGAAAUGUGACAAAGUAAAAGAGAAACAGAUGGUUUCUAAAAGCAAUAAGCCAUUUUACACAGUUACAACGGUUAGCUGUGAAAGUAUGUCCCCUUCUCAUUUACUCUGAUUUAAAUAUAGCCUUAUGUUGGCCUCUUUUUAAAAUUUUCAUUUUCCCUUUAUUCAGUUUUUAAAGCUUGAGUCACACCUCACACACUGUCCUCGUUGGUGUAAAUAUCUACUGAUUUACAUCAGUUUGAGCCAAAAUACCAAAUAGUUUGAUUCCAUGUGUGGCCUUUGACUUCAAACAAUAUAUUUUGCAUUUCCUCCUACUGUCAAAUUUCACUAUGGUGCGGGAGCGAGGAACGAGGAGUACAUCAACACAGGAGAUUUUAAUGUCUUUAAGGGAACCAGGAAAAACACACGUAGCAGGAGAGGUUGACAUCCACAGACAUUUACAAUACUGGACGACCAGCCUUAGAACAGGGCUCACUAUAAAAUACACAGGACUAAAGGAUCGGAUGAUGAGACACACCUGGAACUAAUGAAACAAACAUAAUUAGAACAGGAAGAGCCAAAUAAGGGCAUGGAAACACAUGGGGAGCAAAACACAGAAGUCUGACAUCACCCAUUACCAUAGGCCUGGAGGCUGGUGCAGGACUGGGACACGGGGAAUACUUCCAGUGCGGAUCAGGCAGUCCAGGAGGCCAUGGCAGAGCAUACAGUCCAGGAGGCCAUGGCGGAACAGGGAGCUUAGGGAGCCAUGGCAGAUCAGAGAGUUCAGCCACUCGCCCCGGGCACUACAGCUGGGAACUCAGGACGCCAUGGCCUUGGCCUCGCCACUCAGCCUGGCCACUACGGACAGACCCAUACUACCCAUCCCCCCCCAAGAAAAAAAUCCUUGGUGAGAGUAUCAUCUUUAGAGGCCCUCUGUAGGCCCAACUUGGGAUAAAUGGCCCUCCCUUGGCUUGACUUGGAGACUGGAGCCCUCCUUGGGCUCGACAUGGAAACUGCAGUCCUUUCUGUGCUACACUCGGGGACAGGGGCCCUCUCUGGGCUAAAUUCUGGGACAGGAGCCCUCUCUGGGCUAAACUCGGGGACAGGAGCCCUCCUUGGGCUGGAUUUGGGGGCUGGAGCCCACACUGGAGUGAGGCCUGGGGCUGGAGCCGACACUGGAGCUCUCCAGACACCGGAUGACCACCUCCUUCCAGUCGAGGCUGGUGGUGUCUGGGAGUUCCACAGGGCGAUGGUAUGUGAUCCCGAGCUGUAACAGCAUCACCAGAGUCUCCCAAUGAAGGGAGCUGGCGAGGGCAAGCGGCACGAAUGCCCUCCCGUAGGUGAUUGGGUCAUGGCUAGCCUGAGCCACGGCGAUGAACAUCGCUCAUUCCUCCAUUAUAGUGAGGAGAAACAAACAGGAAAACAAAACACUUUUAAAAAAUUAAAAACAAACACGGGGAGAAGGGCCGCUGCUUACUGUCAUGGUCCGGUAUUCUUUAAAAAAAAAAACACAGAUAGCAGGAGAGGUUGACACAUCCACAGACAUUCACA